RNAcentral lists this ribosomal RNA (1757 nucleotides) under Teloganopsis media. Its description in RNAcentral is "SSU rRNA". It matches the Rfam family "Eukaryotic small subunit ribosomal RNA". The record is from RNAcentral. Lineage: Eukaryota; Metazoa; Arthropoda; Insecta; Ephemeroptera; Ephemerellidae.
AAUGGCUCAUUAAAUCAGUUAUGGUUCCUUAGAUAUGACCAAGUUUUACUUGGACAACUGUGGCAAUCCUAGAGCUAAUACAUGCAACUCGAGCCUGGCCCGGAAACGGGCGAGGCGCACUUAUUAGAUCAAAACCGAUCGGCCGGGCGACCGGCCGAACCCUUUUGGUGACUCUGGAUAAACCACGCUGAUCGCACGGCCUCCGCGCCGGCGACGUAUCUUUCGAAUGUCUGCCUUAUCAACUGUCGAUGGUAGGUUCUGCGCCUACCAUGGUUGUAACGGGUAACGGGGAAUCUGGGUUCGAUUCCGGAGAGGGAGCCUGAGAAACGGCUACCACAUCCAAGGAAGGCAGCAGGCGCGCAAAUUACCCAUUCACAGCACGUGGAGGUAGUGACGAAAAAUAACGAUACGGGACUCAUCCGAGGCCCCGUAAUCGGAAUGAGAACACUUUAAAAACUUUACCUAGUACCAAGUGGAGGGCAAGUCUGGUGCCAGCAGCCGCGGUAAUUCCAGCUCCACCAGCGUAUAUUAAAGUUGUUGCGGUUAAAAAGCUCGUAGUUGGAUCUGUGUUUCGGACGGUCGGUUCGCCGCUCGCGGCGUUCAACUGGCCGGUCCGUACGUCCUGCCGGUGGGCGGGGCUGGGGCGCGAGCCUCGGCCCCUGCCCGAUAAAUUCCCUCCGCUGCUGCCUUUCACCGGGUGGUGCGGCGGGCCGGCACGUUUACUUUGAACAAAUCCGAGUGCUCAAAGCAGGCUGCUUGUCGCCUGAAGAUUGUGUGCAUGGAAUAAUGGAAUAGGACCUCUGUUCUAUUUUGUUGGCUUUUCUGAACCAGAGGUAAUGAUUAAUAGGGACAGACGGGGGCAUUCGUAUUGCGGCGUUAGAGGUGAAAUUCUUGGAUCGUCGCAAGACGUACCGAUGCGAAAGCGUUUGCCAAGAAUGUUUUCGCUAAUCAAGAACGAAAGUUAGAGGUUCGAAGGNGAUCAGAUACCGCCCUAGUUCUAACCAUAAAGCGAUGCCAAGCACAUGCGAUGCGCCGANCGUUCCCUCNGAUGANCUUNGUCGCGGCANGCUUGCCCGGGAAACCCAAGCUUUUGGGUUCCGGGGGAAGUAUGGUUNNNNNNNNUAAACUUAAAGGAAUUGACGGAAGGGCACCACCAGGAGUGGAGCCUGCGGCUUAAUUUGACUCAACACGGGAAACCUCACCAGGCCCGGACAUCGCUAGGAUGGACAGAUUGAUAGCUCUUUCUUGAUUCGAUGGGUGGUGGUGCAUGGCCGUUCUUAGUUGGUGGAGUGAUUUGUCUGGUUAAUUCCGAUAACGAACGAGACUCUAGCCUGCUAAAUAAGACGCCGCGAUCUUUACUGCUCGCGGCGCAACAAAACUUCUUCUUAGAGGGACAGGCGGCUUCUAGCCGCACGAGAUUGAGCAAUAACAGGUCUGUGAUGCCCUUAGAUGUUCUGGGCCGCACGCGCGCUACACUGAAGGAAUCAGCGUGUAUGCCCUGGCCGAGAGGCCCGGGAAACCCGUUGAACCUCCUUCGUGCUUGGGAUCGGCUUUUGUAAUUAUCAGCCGUGAACGAGGAAUCCCCAGUAAACGCGAGUCAUAAGCUCGCGUUGAUUACGUCCCUGCCCUUUGUACACACCGCCCGUCGCUACUACCGAUUGAACGAUUUAGUGAGGUCUUCGGACUGGGGCUCGGAGCGUCGCCUCGCGCGGUGCGAAGACGCCCUGGGAAGAUGACCAAACUUGAUCGUUUUAGAG